RNAcentral lists this ribosomal RNA (253 nucleotides) under uncultured prokaryote. Its description in RNAcentral is "partial 16S ribosomal RNA". It matches the Rfam family "Bacterial small subunit ribosomal RNA", at positions 524 to 776 of the family's 1533-position model. The record is from RNAcentral.
UACAGAGGGUGCGAGCGUUAAUCGGAAUUACUGGGCGUAAAGCGCGCGUAGACGGUUUUGUAAGUCAGAUGUGAAAUCCCUGGGCUCAACCUGGGAACUGCAUUUGAUACUGCAUGGCUAGAGUAUGGAAGAGGGAAGUGGAAUUUCCGGUGUAGCGGUGAAAUGCGUAGAUAUCGGGAGGAACACCAGUGGCGAAGGCGAUUACCUGGGGUUGAUCUGACGCUGAGGAGCGAAAGCUAGGGGAGCAAACGGG